CGAUGAGAGUGGCGCACGGGUGCGUAACGCGUGAGCAACCUGCCCACGUCAGGGGGAUAGCCCCUCGAAAGAGGGAUUAAGCCCGCAUGCGACGGAUGGCCCGCAUGGGCCCUCGGUCAAAUAUUCAUAGGACGUGGAUGGGCUCGCGUGGCAUUAGCUGGUUGGCGGGGUAACGGCCCACCAAGGCGACGAUGCCUAGGGGCUCUGAGAGGAGUGACCCCCACACUGGUACUGAGACACGGACCAGACUCCUACGGGAGGCAGCAGUAAGGGAUAUUGGUCAAUGGGGGGAACCCUGAACCAGCCAUGCCGCGUGCAGGAAGGAGGCCCUACGGGUCGUAAACUGCUUUUGCCGGGGAACAACCGUCGCUACGUGUAGCGGCCUGAGCGUACCCGGAGAAUAAGGAUCGGCUAACUCCGUGCCAGCAGCCGCGGUAAUACGGAGGAUCCGAGCGUUAUCCGGAAUUAUUGGGUUUAAAGGGUGCGUAGGCGGCCCCCUAAGUCGGUGGUGAAAGACGGUGGCUCAACCAUCGCAGUGCCGUUGAUACUGGGGGGCUUGAAUUCGGACGAGGUAGGCGGAAUGAGGCAAGUAGCGGUGAAAUGCAUAGAUAUGCCUCAGAACACCGAUUGCGGAGGCAGCUUACCAGGGCGAGAUUGACGCUGAUGCACGAAAGCGUGGGGAUCGAACAGGAUUAGAUACCCUGGUAGUCCACGCCCUAAACGAUGAUGACUCGAUGUCGGCGACAGACUGUCGGCGUCCAAGCGAAAGCGUUAAGUCAUCCACCUGGGGAGUACGCCCGCAAGGGUGAAACUCAAAGGAAUUGACGGGGGCCCGCACAAGCGGAGGAGCAUGUGGUUUAAUUCGAUGAUACGCGAGGAACCUUACCCGGGCUUGAAAGUUACUGAAGAUGCCGGAGACGGCAUCGUCCUUUGGGACAGGAAACUAGGUGCUGCAUGGCUGUCGUCAGCUCGUGCCGUGAGGUGUUGGGUUAAGUCCCGCAACGAGCGCAACCCCUGCUGCCAGUUACCAGCACGUUACGGUGGGGACUCUGGCAGGACUGCCCGCGCAAGCGGCGAGGAAGGCGGGGACGACGUCAAGUCAUCAUGGCCCUUACGUCCGGGGCUACACACGUGCUACAAUGGGCGGUACAGAGGGCAGCCACUUAGCGAUAAGGCGCGAAUCCCUCAAAGCCGUCCACAGUUCGGAUCGGGGCCUGCAACUCGGCCCCGUGAAGCUGGAUUCGCUAGUAAUCGCGUAUCAGCAAUGACGCGGUGAAUACGUUCCCGGGCCUUGUACACACCGCCCGUCAAGCCAUGAAAGCCGGGGGUACCUGAAGUGCGUGGCCGCAAGGAGCGCCCUAGGGUAAUCCGAAUG
This 1375-nucleotide ribosomal RNA is filed under the name Olivibacter sp. RNAcentral describes it as "bacterial SSU rRNA". It matches the Rfam family "Bacterial small subunit ribosomal RNA". Lineage: Bacteria; Pseudomonadati; Bacteroidota; Sphingobacteriia; Sphingobacteriales; Sphingobacteriaceae. The record is from RNAcentral.